AGAGUUUGAUCCUGGCUCAGAACGAACGCUGGCGGUAUGCCUAACACAUGCAAGUCGAACGAGGUGUAGCAAUACAUCUAGUGGCGGACGGGUGAGGAAUACAUAGGAAUUUGCCUUUAGGUGGGGGAUAGCCCAGGGAAACUUGGAGUAAUACCGCAUGAUGUCGUGAGACCAAAGUCGGGGACCGCAAGGCCUGGCGCCUUUAGAGAAGCCUAUGUCGGAUUAGCUUGUUGGUGAGGUAACGGCUCACCAAGGCGACGAUCCGUAACUGGUCUGAGAGGACGAUCAGUCACACUGGAACUGAGACACGGUCCAGACUCCUACGGGAGGCAGCAGUGGGGAAUAUUGGACAAUGGGCGCAAGCCUGAUCCAGCAAUACCGCGUGUGUGAAGAAGGCCUUCGGGUUGUAAAGCACUUUAAGCAGGGAAGAAAAAACUCAAACUAAUAUUUUGAGUCUUGACGGUACCUGAAGAAUAAGCACCGGCUAACUCUGUGCCAGCAGCCGCGGUAAUAC
This 514-nucleotide ribosomal RNA is filed under the name uncultured soil bacterium. RNAcentral's name for it is "bacterial SSU rRNA". It matches the Rfam family "Bacterial small subunit ribosomal RNA", at positions 8 to 526 of the family's 1533-position model. The record is from RNAcentral.